UCACGAAGUGGUGAUGACGCAACAGAAGAACCCACUCCAACAUGGUAUGUGACGUCACAGAGAAUCAAGCGGCCAUUGUGCGAAAGAAAAUAAAGAAAAGUCAGCGAAUAAAGCUGCCGAAGAAAGGCGCAAGACGAAGACGCCGAUAAAGGAUACACGGUUUGAGGCUUGAGUAUUAUAAGUAUGAGUUGUGUGUUGUAUGUGUGUCUUGUCUGCGCUGCUGUAUUCUUAUUCUGCUGGACCUAAUGUUGCCAGCUAUUUUUAGUCAGUCACUACUAUAGUGCAUUUUGCAUGUCUAUGAAAUAUACGCAAUGAAACUAUGGCGAUUAUCUUGCUGGAUCAGAUUUUGUUGUUGUACACUCUAUUGGGUACUUCGUCUACAAAGGUCGAACCCUUCAGCGAUUCUGUAUUGUCCUGAUCGCUGGGUGAGAACGCUAUGUUGGUACACAAAUACUCGAGUAAUAUCAACACGCAGUAUAAUAUGCGCAUAAAUUAAGUAAACUUACAAUUCCCGUCUAUAAUUUAACAAGAAUAAGUAUAAACUUCUCCACCCUAAUAAAAUAUACAAUUAUAUAUCCUAUUUAAACGUCAUGUAGCGUGAUUGGGACGAUGGCCACGUCACGAUUACGCUACGACGUCGAUACGGUGGGUCAGAGCAUUGUCAUGACCCUGCGUUCGGUGCGGUUACGUCAGUUUUGAUUGAGUUACGUCACGGUCAGGUGUUGCGUGGACGUCGCCGCCAGUGAUGCUACGCUAGAUAUAUAGGUCACUGUCAAUGCGGUUCGUAACAACUUGACGCAGUUUCGUAGCGGUCGAUGCGGUGCGUAACAUCCGGACGAUAUUAUAUUGUGUGAAGAUACGACGAGAGUCUCGCGGUACCAACAUGGCGACUUACCUUUUGAUUGGGACAUGCGGAGCUGUUGUUGGCUUCGACUCCUUGCGGUCGGACAUUCAAUAUGGUGUACACUGCAGAUGAUUAUCCUUCGGGAUUUGAACCAUAUUUUAUUUGUAGAUGUUUCAGUGAUUAUGUCCGCGUUAAUUACCUUUU
Non-coding RNA from Ciona intestinalis (vase tunicate), 1048 nucleotides. The record is from RefSeq and is a predicted model, not a curated record. NCBI's taxonomy places the organism in Eukaryota, Metazoa, Chordata, Ascidiacea, Phlebobranchia, Cionidae.